Molecule: long non-coding RNA, 3048 nt
Organism: Tribolium castaneum (red flour beetle)
Lineage: Eukaryota; Metazoa; Arthropoda; Insecta; Coleoptera; Tenebrionidae
Exons: 2
Source: RefSeq, a predicted model, not a curated record
GGGAUUGUUCCCUGUAAUUAGUCCAAUCGAAUUGAGUUUAGGCAGGCUUGGAUUACAACGGAUGGGCUGUUUACCAUCAGUAGUUGAUUUAAUUAUUUUUGGGAGUUUUAUUUAAUUAUGGCUUAAUCAGCUUUUUUCUUUGUUUCUGAUGAAUUACCGGAGCGCGUGUCGCGCCAACUUCAUCUAAUUUCAAUUGUUCAAGUUUAAGACACAGUUUUAACGAUUCGAAUUUUUUAGUUUUAGUUAGGUUUGUUAAUGUUAGUGACGCUAACAAACCUUAAAACUUGCUAAUGAUAAUGCGAUUAAGAGCCACGCCCCAUUUAUUUUUCUAAACUGUUCGCCUAAUCCUAGUUUUCCAACCAUAAACGAACCUUUGUAAAAUCUUGUUUACGAAGGAGGGAUUUUAUGGAGGUCUAGAUAUAAAGUUUGCGAAUGAUUCCAAGAUAAAAAUACGCCAAAAAGCCCACUCUGUCACUACUAUGUUUGUCUUUUGAUGACUAACAUGCCCUAGAUAUUUAUCACCAAUUGUGAAAAGGAAUAUCAUUAAUUACCUUAUUCUUCUCGAUUUGAUGGCAAGGUGAGCUGCGACAUAACUCGCUUUGUCUGUUCUAAAUAAGGACAAAUAAUAAGGUGCAGCGUAAUGCAUGUUAAUACAACAAUACAUCAAUCAUAAUUGCGUUAGUUCCAAGUUGGAAAGAAAUUUUGAUUGAAAUUAAAGUCGAUAAUCGCGAAGUUGCAUCUAGGAGAAACUUUGUACUUUAACAAACUGUAGGUGUAGCAUAUCGAGGAUUAUCUUUAUUAUUUAUAACUUUGAACAGUGAUGGCCUUAUUAUAAAGGUGAGUUAUUUUUUUAUUUUCUCGACUGAAAGCAAAAAAUUUUAUGUCAAAAAAGAUCCUGACAGCAAAUUGUGAACUCUGGGGCUAAAUUAUCAUUGACUACAGGGUGUUCCGUUUAAAGUACCUAAGUUCAACCGUUUUCGAGAUAUUUAUAAAUUUUUGAAAAUUUUUGAAUUUGCAUCUGUCACUUAAAAAAUCGGUAACUUUCUUAGUUUUAGAGAUUUCGAAAUCAUAUUUGGAGAAUUAAAAGAGAAAACCUAUAUUUGUUCUUCAGUGUAUACAAAAUUGGAAAAGAAGUAAAUAAACCCAAAAAUUUUAUGGUUAGAUUUUAUAGUCAAGUACCCAUAGGUUAAUUUUUUCAAAUGGGAUGUUCUAAUUUUUAGGAGAUUUUUUUUUUGCAUUAAUCUGUGUUAUCAUUCCCUAUACCUAUCUGUGAUAAUUUUCAAGUUAUGUUGGUUCUGACAUUGUAGAAAAUUUCUUACUAACCACAGCUGUUUUUACAAAACAUUUUUAAAUAAACAAACGACAAACUCUGUUAAAAAUUGUGUUGUCCGUCCUGUGAAAACUUAAUAAGUUCACUGAAUGUUGGUUUAAAAAACUUUAAUUUUUCACAUUUUUUCUCUGGUUUCCGUGGCAGCCUAUGAGAAAAAGUCUAUGGCUAAUGAAUUUCUCAAUCCCAACAAAAAGUUAUUGUAACUGGAAAAGUAUUAAACAUAACUAUAGGGAAUGCUAAUACAGAUCGGUGCAGAAUUAAAUUCUCUACGAUUUAAUGAAAUAAAACUUGUGGCAUUUCAUUUGAAAAAAUUGAGUUAUGGGUGCUUAAUCUUCUGAAAACUUAACUUUAAACAUUUGGGGCUUGUUAUUUUUUUAGAAAUUUGAAAACACUAAAGGAAAGAUCUAGGCUUCCUCUUUCAAAUGAGCUAAAAAACAUUUUCAAAAUUAAAAAAAUGGCAGAGUUAUCGAUUUUUGAACUAGAAGGUGCAAAUUCAAAAACAAUUUAAAAAUCCAAAUUUUUUUUAAUAAGAAAUUAAAAGACAAGAUCUCUACACCAAUCUUUAGUUAAUUAGAAAUCGAUCCACUUUUUGGUAACUGUGACCUUGAGUAGAAAAGUAGGUGGGUUUGUUUACAUCUGAUGUAUCAGAUUCUGUAAGCUUUUUGGUCAAGACACGACAUGCGUUUCAUUUUAACACACAUUGAAAGACAAGGACAGUGUAUUCAAAUUAAAAUUUAUAUUUUUAAUAAUUACUAUGUUGUUAAUUUUUAAUCCUCAUCAAUCAUUAAAUUCAAUACUUGGGAACUUGUUUCCAGCGUUUUUUGUCUUUUAACAUAAUAAAAGGCUUUACGUCUUGACUAUCAAAGCUGUAACCUUAGUAUAACGACCCAAGAAGCUCUUAUGUUUCCUAAUAGUCCACUGUUACAUAAUGGUGCAUUAAUACGGUAGAAUCCGGUUAUAACGAAGUUGCAUGAGAACUUGAAAUUACUGGAUUACAACCGAAUUUCGCUUCAGCCGGAAAAAAAUUAAACUUGAUAACUGCCAAUUUACCCAAGUGUUAUUACACGUACGGUGAAAUAAUUUUGCCGCACUGGGUUGUAAGUAACUGUCCUGCCGGCAAUUAAGUCCUGCUGAAAUGUAUCAACAGAUAGGUGCGGAAAGUUUAUAUUUUUAUGGCAACACAAGUUGGCAUUCCAUCUCCUUUCACUCUGUUCGUCGUUUUGUAUUCAGACCGACAGCGACAUCGCAAGUUCGUUGAAUCGGAAACUAUUCUGUUCGUUUUUGUUAGCUGUUCUUGUAUCGACUAUAUUUACCGAUAGGAUGAAUUUUUGCCAAAUAUGUCAUAGAUGUUUAUGUCGCAUUAUUUAUUAUACUUCAGCAUGAAACGCUGAAAUACCUGCUUGGUCGCUGCAGAACUUUCAGCCGGUAAUAAAUUUAAUUUUCAACCCACACCAAGGAUUAAUGACGGUGUUGUUGGAGAGGUUUGUAGGUCAAUAAGAUCACGACUACGCGGUAUAAACAGGAUAAGGAGAUGAUAUUAGUCACUAGGCGGAGAUCUGUUUAUAGCAGCGGUUUCCGGGUUAAUGCAACCUAUUGCCCAUACAUCCAGUGAUGGAAGGUGAAGAUUAUUUGAUUAGGAUGGCCCAUACUUAAUUAUUCAGAACUUUGUACAAUUGUAUAUUGUCAUACUUUCCUGAAAUAAAGACGAAUUCUCUUCA